RNAcentral lists this ribosomal RNA (216 nucleotides) under uncultured bacterium. RNAcentral's name for it is "partial 16S ribosomal RNA". It matches the Rfam family "Bacterial small subunit ribosomal RNA", at positions 524 to 738 of the family's 1533-position model. The record is from RNAcentral.
UACGAAGGGGGGCUAGCGUUGUUCGGAAUUACUGGGCGUAAAGCGCACGUAGGCGGAUAUUUAAGUCAGGGGUGAAAUCCCAGAGCUCAACUCUGGAACUGCCUUUGAUACUGGGUAUCUUGAGUAUGGAAGAGGUAAGUGGAAUUGCGAGUGUAGAGGUGAAAUUCGUAGAUAUUCGCAGGAACACCAGUGGCGAAGGCGGCUUACUGGUCCAUA